UUCAAUCCAAAAGAGCGAUUACUGAAAAAAGUGGUGCUUCAAAAAAGUGGUUACUGAGUUUUGACUGAUGACUUACUUUUUCAAAACCUAAAAAUAAUUUGUUUUAUAACGUGUGCUGUAUUGAAUGCCCUGAAUCUUUACUUCGUUUUUGAUGAAGAAUGUACAAGUUCAAUUGUACAACAAGUAUGCAAAGUGAAAGAUGGAGUAAAUGACUUGCAUUUGCUGUUGUAUUCUGCUGUGCUGUGCUGUGCUGUGCUCUAUGAAUUUAUUGAUUCAAUAGACUUUAAAUGGUCGUGUCGCCGUGUGUACUACGUAAAAGGGCCUUUAUCCAUGAUGCAUAUUUGAUUGAUACCACGGCCUCACAAGAUGGCGAUUUGUAGUACGGGUUUGGGGUCUUCUCGUUCGAGUCCGAUCUGACAAGAGAACGGAGAAUGUUGGGGUAUGUGAUUUUAUGUUGGCAGCUCGGCCUUCAAAUGCAUUCAUCACUGGGCGUUCGAUUCACAAUCAACGAUUUGAGAGGGCGUGGCGCGUUGUAUUCCAGAAUUGCGUUGUGCCCUUCUACAAUACUUUUCAAUAGUGAUUACAAUUAUGAAAAGUUUACUUUUCUAUUACAUUCAUUAAUGCAAUACAUUUAACAAGCGAAUCGCCACUCAAA
Long non-coding RNA from Daphnia pulex (common water flea), 655 nucleotides. RefSeq lists it as uncharacterized. NCBI's taxonomy places the organism in Eukaryota, Metazoa, Arthropoda, Branchiopoda, Diplostraca, Daphniidae. The record is from RefSeq and is a predicted model, not a curated record. The transcript is spliced from 3 exons.